AAUGGGCGAGAGCCUGAUCCAGCCAUGCCGCGUGCAGGAAGACGGCCUAUGGGUUGUAAACUGCUUUUAUACAGGAAGAACAUCCCCUCGUGAGGGGACUUGACGGUACUGUAAGAAUAAGGACCGGCUAACUCCGUGCCAGCAGCCGCGGUAAUACGGAGGGUCCGAGCGUUAUCCGGAAUCAUUGGGUUUAAAGGGUCCGUAGGCGGGCAGCUCAGUCAGUGGUGAAAGUCUGCAGCUCAACUGUAGAAUUGCCAUUGAUACUGGUUGUCUUGAAUUAUUAUGAAGUGGUUAGAAUAUGUAGUGUAGCGGUGAAAUGCAUAGAUAUUACAUAGAAUACCGAUUGCGAAGGCAGAUCACUAAUAAUAUAUUGACGCUGAGGGACGAAAGCGUGGGGAGCGAACAGGAUU
Molecule: ribosomal RNA, 410 nt
Filed under: uncultured Flavobacteriia bacterium
Lineage: Bacteria; Pseudomonadati; Bacteroidota; Flavobacteriia
Description: bacterial SSU rRNA
Rfam family: Bacterial small subunit ribosomal RNA
Source: RNAcentral